CUUAAGUAUAGAGUUUAACUGUGUCAUUUUUAUUAGCAGGAUAUUCUAUCAGCAGAAAAGUUCAAAAAGCUGACUGAAUAACCCCUCUCACGUCAGUAAGGACGAAGUAAUACGGACAAUGUUCUCUCUGGUCACGUAUCCUUCAUGAAAUGUAAAUAAAUACUAGGAUGUGAAGCAUGUACUUCUGCAGAAUACAGCGUUGUCUGGAAAUAGACUCUUGCCAGGAUAUUGCUGUCUUCUGGAGAAACAACAUAUCUCAGCUUGCUGGAGCUACUACCAGGUCAUGCAACACCAGGCAAGUUCAAAUAUAAAAGCAAACUUAAGAAAGCAAAUUGAUUGUAUAGCAACAAAGAAUUAAGCUCUUGAUUAC
This 370-nucleotide long non-coding RNA is filed under the name Anser brachyrhynchus (Pink-footed goose). RNAcentral describes it as "lncRNA (ENSABRG00000002893.1)". Lineage: Eukaryota; Metazoa; Chordata; Aves; Anseriformes; Anatidae. The record is from RNAcentral.